Molecule: ribosomal RNA, 890 nt
Filed under: uncultured bacterium
Lineage: Bacteria
Description: bacterial SSU rRNA
Rfam family: Bacterial small subunit ribosomal RNA
Source: RNAcentral
CCCAGAGCUUAACUCUGGAACUGCCAUCAAAACUUUUCAGCUAGAGUAUGAUAGAGGAAAGCAGAAUUUCUAGUGUAGAGGUGAAAUUCGUAGAUAUUAGAAAGAAUACCAAUUGCGAAGGCAGCUUUCUGGAUCAUUACUGACACUGAGGAACGAAAGCAUGGGUAGCGAAGAGGAUUAGAUACCCUCGUAGUCCAUGCCGUAAACGAUGUGUGUUAGACGUUGGAAAUUUAUUUUCAGUGUCGCAGCGAAAGCGAUAAACACACCGCCUGGGGAGUACGACCGCAAGGUUAAAACUCAAAUGAAUUGACGGGGACCCGCACAAGUAGUGGAGCAUGUGGUUUAAUUCGAAGAUACGCGCAGAACCUUACCAACACUUGACAUGUUCGUCGCGACUUUAAGAGAUUAAAGUUUUCGGUUCGGCCGGACGAAACACAGGUGCUGCAUGGCUGUCGUCAGCUCGUGUCGUGAGAUGUUGGGUUAAGUCCCGCAACGAGCGCAACCCUCACUUUUAGUUGCCAUCAUUAAGUUGGGCACUCUGAAAGAACUGCCAGUGAUAAGCCGGAGGAAGGUGGGGAUGACGUCAAGUCCUCAUGGCCCUUACGUGUUGGGCUACACACGUGCUACAAUGGCAUUGACAAUAGGAAGCAAGACGGCGACGUCAAGCAAAUCCUAAAAAUAUGCCUCAGUUCGGAUUGUACUCUGCAACUCGAGUACAUGAAGCUGGAAUUACUAGUAAUCGCGGAUCAGCGCGCCGCGGUGAAUACGUUCCCGGGUCUUGUACACACCGCCCGUCACACCAUGGGAGUUGGUUCUACCUUAAGGCAAAGCUUAAAAACUUUGACCACGGUAUAGUCAGCGACUGGGGUGAAGUCGUAACAAGGUAGCCG